Molecule: ribosomal RNA, 736 nt
Filed under: Vibrio parahaemolyticus
Lineage: Bacteria; Pseudomonadati; Pseudomonadota; Gammaproteobacteria; Vibrionales; Vibrionaceae
Description: partial 23S ribosomal RNA
Rfam family: Bacterial large subunit ribosomal RNA
Source: RNAcentral
UAAUGGGUCAGCGACUUAUAUUCAGUGGCAAGGUUAACCAUCUAGGGGAGCCGUAGGGAAACCGAGUCUUAACUGGGCGUUCAGUCUCUGGAUAUAGACCCGAAACCAGGUGAUCUAGCCAUGGGCAGGUUGAAGGUUGAGUAACAUCAACUGGAGGACCGAACCGACUAAUGUUGAAAAAUUAGCGGAUGACUUGUGGCUAGGGGUGAAAGGCCAAUCAAACCUGGAGAUAGCUGGUUCUCCCCGAAAGCUAUUUAGGUAGCGCCUCGGACGAAUACUACUGGGGGUAGAGCACUGUUAAGGCUAGGGGGUCAUCCCGACUUACCAACCCUUUGCAAACUCCGAAUACCAGUAAGUACUAUCCGGGAGACACACGGCGGGUGCUAACGUCCGUCGUGGAGAGGGAAACAACCCAGACCGCCAGCUAAGGUCCCAAAUUACUACUAAGUGGGAAACGAUGUGGGAAGGCUCAGACAGCCAGGAUGUUGGCUUAGAAGCAGCCAUCAUUUAAAGAAAGCGUAAUAGCUCACUGGUCGAGUCGGCCUGCGCGGAAGAUGUAACGGGGCUAAGUAGUAAACCGAAGCUGCGGCAAUAUACUUUUGUAUAUUGGGUAGGGGAGCGUUCUGUAAGCGGUUGAAGGUGUGUGGUAACGCAUGCUGGACGUAUCAGAAGUGCGAAUGCUGACAUGAGUAACGAUAAAGGGGGUGAAAAACCUCCUCGCCGGAAGACCAAGGGU